CUCUGCCAUGUGUUGGUCUCAUUUUUAGGGAACUCAGUAAUAAUGAUCAUCAAUAUCAUCAGGUUGACUCUGAUGGUCCUGAUCCUGAUUCCUCUGCUUGUCUUGAGUCUGUGGAUGAGGAGGAAGAAACGUAUCAUCUUAAAAGCUGAACCAAAUGAACCUGUAGAGAUGACUGAGGUACACUCUGAUCCUGAAUGAUUCCUGAUUCAUCCUCAAAGGCUGUAACUGCAGCACAGACGGAUGACGAGGAGGAAGACUAGCUGUGAAGUCCACUCAGGUCACAGCAGGGGUGUCACUGCAGGUCAAGGGUCACAUUCAGCCCAGUUUGAUAUUUUCUGUGGACUAAAACAUUUGCUAAUAAGCUAAAAAAUUCCAGAAUUGUCCCCUUUCUCCUUUUUCUUUUAUAAAUGGUGUGAUGAACAGCCUGGGGUGUUUUUCCACAUGCAGCCAAUCUAAUGUCAUCACAGAGAAACCCACAGAGCUCACACUCUAAGAAAUAAAUGCAGAAAAUCACAGAGAAAGUGCUGAGAACUCUUUACCCGGGCUUUGUCCCAUGAUCC
Long non-coding RNA from Archocentrus centrarchus (flier cichlid), 560 nucleotides. RefSeq lists it as uncharacterized. NCBI's taxonomy places the organism in Eukaryota, Metazoa, Chordata, Actinopteri, Cichliformes, Cichlidae. The transcript is spliced from 3 exons. The record is from RefSeq and is a predicted model, not a curated record.